UAGGGAAUCUUCCGCAAUGGACGCAAGUCUGACGGAGCAACGCCGCGUGAGUGAAGAAGGAUUUCGGUUCGUAAAACUCUGUUGUUAGAGAAGAACAGCGCAUAGAGUAACUGUUAUGCGUGUGACGGUAUCUAACCAGAAAGCCACGGCUAACUACGUGCCAGCAGCCGCGGUAAUACGUAGGUGGCAAGCGUUGUCCGGAUUUAUUGGGCGUAAAGCGAGCGCAGGCGGUCAAUUAAGUCUGAUGUGAAAGCCCCCGGCUCAACCGGGGGGGGUCAUUGGAAACUGGUUGACUUGAGUGCAGAAGAGGAAAGUGGAAUUCCAUGUGUAGCGGUGAAAUGCGUAGAUAUAUGGAGGAACACCAGUGGCGAAGGCGACUUUCUGGUCUGUAACUGACGCUGAGGCUCGAAAGCGUGGGGAGCAAACAGG
This 429-nucleotide ribosomal RNA is filed under the name Bacteroidota bacterium. Its description in RNAcentral is "Bacteroidetes bacterium partial 16S ribosomal RNA". It matches the Rfam family "Bacterial small subunit ribosomal RNA", at positions 355 to 776 of the family's 1533-position model. Lineage: Bacteria; Pseudomonadati; Bacteroidota. The record is from RNAcentral.